This 253-nucleotide ribosomal RNA is filed under the name uncultured bacterium. Its description in RNAcentral is "partial 16S ribosomal RNA". It matches the Rfam family "Bacterial small subunit ribosomal RNA", at positions 524 to 776 of the family's 1533-position model. The record is from RNAcentral.
UACGUAGGUGGCAAGCGUUAUCCGGAUUUAUUGGGCGUAAAGGGAACGCAGGCGGUCUUUUAAGUCUGAUGUGAAAGCCUUCGGCUUAACCGGAGUAGUGCAUUGGAAACUGGGAGACUUGAGUGCAGAAGAGGAGAGUGGAACUCCAUGUGGAGCGGUGAAAUGCGUAGAUAUAUGGAAGAACACCAGUGGCGAAAGCGGCUCUCUGGUCUGUAACUGACGCUGAGGUUCGAAAGCGUGGGUAGCAAACAGG